RNAcentral lists this ribosomal RNA (1746 nucleotides) under Jaagichlorella hainangensis. Its description in RNAcentral is "small subunit ribosomal RNA". Lineage: Eukaryota; Viridiplantae; Chlorophyta; Trebouxiophyceae; Watanabeales; Watanabeaceae. The record is from RNAcentral.
ACACAAUCCAGCAGCAAGUUCCCUUACCGCUACCUUGUUACGACUUCGCUCAAAUUACUAAACAAAUUUUCACAGUUUAAAAUUGAAAAAGAAAUGAAAUUAUCAAGAUCUUAAAAGAUUCACUAUAAUCGCAUUUCUUUUUAAUCGUCAAAAGCUUGGAAUUCAUUCAAUUUUUCGAGCGUGACGGGCUGGGAGUACAAAGCCUAGGUACAAUUUCACCGUAGCGUGGUGAUCUACGAUUACUAGUAAUUCCAACUUCAUGCUCUCGAGUUUCAGAGAACAAUCCGAAUAAAGACAAUUUUUAUGGAUUCGCUCCAAUUCGCAUUAUUGCAUCCUUUUGUAAUUGCCAUUGUAACACACGUGAAGCCCAGUCCAUUAGGGUCAUGACGAUUUGACUUCAUCCUCUGCUUACUUUAGCUUAUCACUAACAGAAAAGUUUGAGUGCAUUAUAAUGUUUUUUUUGGAAAACAAAAUAUUGUUGAUAUUUUGAAUCAAUAAACAGAUUAUAAUUUGCAACAAACUAAGAGGGUUUCGCUCGUUAAGGGAAUUAACCAAACGUUUUACAACACGAGCUGACGACAACCAUGCAACGCCUGUUCGUUGUAUAUUUAUUUGAUUAAAAAUAAACUCUAACAAAUGCAAGGACUGGUAAGAUUUUACGCGUUGAAUCGGAUUAAUCCGCAUGUUCCACUACUCGUAUAGGCUCCCGCCUAUUCCUUUGAAUUUUAAUCUUGCGAUCGUAGUUUUCAGGCAGAAGAUUUAAUGCGUUAGCUUUAUCACUAAAUAUUUCAAAUACCACGUUUUUUUGUUUCGUUUUUAUCUUUAAUCGAAGAUAUCAUUUACAUUUCUCGACCUGAUUCUGGGAAAACGGUUAAUAAAUGCAACACAAAUACCGCGUUUUUACAACGGUUGAACAAUAUAUUUGAAAAAUCUAACAAUUAAUCUUCAUCGUUGACUGCGUAGACUACUGAGGUAUCUAAUCUCUUUUGCUCCCUACGCUGUCGCAUCUCAACGUCAGUAUACUUUUAGAGAAUUGCUUUCGCUUUUGGAAUUCCUUCAAUUUUCAUAGAAUUUUACCUCUCCUGUUGAAAUUCUAUUCUCUUCUAAGAAACUCUAGCUUACUCUUUUAACAAUCUUUUAUCUUAAAGAUUUCAACCUCUUUCCUAAUAUAACUUAGGGAUUUUUGUAUUGAAGAUGAUAAGCAGCCUACAUGCGUUUUACGCCCAAUUAUGAUGAAUAACGCUUAUACCUCCUGUAUUACCGCUAGUGCUGGCACAGAAUUGCUAGGUAUUAUUCUUGAAAAGUAUGUCAUUAUCUUCUUUUCAAUUAGAGGUUUACGACCAAUCAGCCUUCAACAAUGAACAUAUUUUGUUCAUUAAUCCCUCAAUCAAGUUAGCUGGAUCAAACUUUCGUUUAUUGUCCAAGAUUAUCCACUGCUGCCAUUAAAAAUGUCUAGUCCUUGUUUCAGUUCUAGUGCGACAGAUCAUUCUUUCAAAUCUGCUAAAGAUCGUUGGCUUGGUAAGCUUUAAUCUUACCAACUACCUAAUCUUGUCGGAGACCAUCAUUUGAUGCGGUUUUAACCUUUUUUAUAUCAGGAAUUCAUCAAUAAUAAUAUAUGCCUGGCAUCAAGGUAGGCUUCUCCAACUUUACUCGCCUGUUCACGACCUAUUAAUUGUAAAUUAAUAUGUUUCAUUAACAUGUGUUAUACUACUUGACAGCGUUCAUUCGGAGCCAGGAUCAAACUCU